Molecule: ribosomal RNA, 3246 nt
Filed under: Ceraceosorus bombacis
Lineage: Eukaryota; Fungi; Basidiomycota; Exobasidiomycetes; Ceraceosorales; Ceraceosoraceae
Description: Bacterial large subunit ribosomal RNA
Rfam family: Bacterial large subunit ribosomal RNA
Source: Rfam by way of RNAcentral
GACUAAGUGAUUAAAGAGGUCAUUAAGGAUGUCUAGCUAGCGCCUUGGAAAGGAAGCAAUAGUCCCCAUACGACUUUAAAUAUGUGGACACUCCUAUAGUAAACUAACAUAGGUAAGGUAUUGUCUAAAUUAGAACAGUAUAAACUAUCUAUAAUGUACACGCUGGGAACUAAAUCAUUAUAGUACCAGUAGGAAAGGAAACCAACCGAGACUCCGGUAGUAAUGGCGAGUGAACCCGGAUUAGCUUAACUGUAGACUGUGGUAAGUUGAAGGCUCUGGAAAGUGUCUAUACAGUACUACUAUGCUGUGCCAUAGAAGGUUAUAGCCCUGUCUACCUACUACUAUACAGUAACAAUAAGUAAAAUGAGGACGGCAGCCUUGUUUGAAUUAGGGGGUACCAUCCUCCAAAGCUAAGUAUAAGGCGUUAUAGCAAUAGUAAAGAGUAAUGUGAAUGAAUGAUGAAAAGCAGGUAGAUGACCGUUGAAACAGAUCCUGAAUUAGUGACCUUAUAAGCAAUGGAAGCUCAUAUCAAAGAGUUACCGUGUACCUUUUGCAUAAUGGGGUGCUUCAGGCCCAAAACGUUUAUUAACGUAGUCCUAGUUUACCAUAAUUGACUAGAAUGUCUUGACAAAGAUAUUGAGAGGCUCUAUACGAGUACUCUUGGCGAUGCAGGUGUUAACGGUUAAACGAAAAGUCAAUAGUAAGACCGUCGGUCAAUAGUAUAAUUUUAUUGAUCGCUACAGACUGGGUCACCUGUGGCAGUAUUAAUAUAUUGUUAAUGUACAGUCGAAGGAGAGUAACCAAUAAUUAUGGAUGACUUAGUAUACCAUAGUACUUUUCUUGAGCAAGUUCUUCUAAAUAGCAAGGCGUAUAGCCAUAGUGAAAGCGACCUAUUAUUGGUAUAGUUAACUAGAAGAGACCCGAAACCAGGUGAUCUAACCAUGGCCAGGCAUAUAAAGUGGCCGAACCUAUUAAUGUUGCAGAAUUAUGGGAAGAGCUGUGGUUAGUCAGUGAAAGGCUAAUCUAACCUGGUAAUAGCUGGUAUUCCGUGAAAUCUAUCUUAGUAGAGCACCAGUACUAACACUAUCGUAUGUACAGCACUGAUAAUCAUACCUAAUAGUAUUAUACUAUGUUAAAUUGGGGGGUCUUAUACCCUACCAUUGGUUAUUAACCUCGGAAGGACGAUAGUCAAUAACUGGUAGACAGUCUAUCCAUGAUAAGGUGGUUAGACAAGAGGGAAACAGCCCACAACAUGAGUUAAGGUCCCUAAGUAAUAAUUGAGUGAAAUAAAGAAAGUCCUUACCCUAUUACGAUCUUUAGGUAAGCUUGGAAGUAGCUACCUUUUAAUGAACGUUUAACCACGCAAAGAACUAAGGGUAGAGGCGUCUAAAAUUUAUCGGGUCUACAUUAUUCACCUACACCAUGUCUUUAAGGGUAACGGAACAUUCAGUACUCUAUGAACGUUAGGUUGUGCUUGACUGGAGGGUACUGAAGAGAGAAUGCUACCAUGAGUAACGUAUAAAGAGGGUAUAAUCCCUCUCGCCGUAUACGAUAGGUUUUCUAAGGAUAAUUUAAUAUACCUAGACUUAGGCGGUCUCUAAGGUUAACCAUGAAUAUGAUAACUGAUGAGUAUGUACUGAACCAUCUACUACUUAGUAGAUCAAGAAAAUCAAGUACACUAAAUCAACCGUACUUAAACCGACACAGGUUCGUAGGUAGAGUAUACCAAGGCGUAGAGCUAACACUCCUUAAGGAACUCGGCAAAAUGUGUCCGUAAGUUCGACGAUAAGGAUAACCAUAGCUUAUUAACCAAUUACAAGGUAUAUUUAAGACUAUGUGUGCCACAUAAACGUGAGCUGCGACUGUUUACCAAAAACACAGCUACCUGCUAAGACGUAUAAGAGUACUUGUAUAGGUAGUGAACUCUGCCCAAUGCCUCAUAAAGUAAGGAAGGUUAUCCUUUAGUAGGGUAAUUAACUGAUACGAGGUGAAUGGCGGUCUUAACUAUAAGGAUCUGAAAGUAGCGAAACUCCUUGGCUAUUAAAUGUAGUCCUGCAUGAAUGAGGUAACGUGGCUCAGCUGUCUCAAGGAGUGGCUCAGUGAAGUUGGAAUAACCGUGCAGAUACGGUUUACCUUCAGAUAGACAGGAAGACCCUAUACAGCUUUACUGUAGCUUGAUGUUGACGUCGUAGUUACUAGGUGUAGCAUACAAGGGAGAACUUAGUUCAAUAGUGAAAUACCUUGACUAGUAUAUUACGGUAUCUAAUCUAUAUAUAAUAAUGGUAUAGUAUAUUUACCUAAAGAGACAUCAUCAAGUGGUCAGUUUUACUGGGGCGGUAUUCUCUAACAUAGUAUCAGAGAACUACAAAGGUAUGGUUAAAUUGUUCACAAAUCAAUAGGUUAUGUAAGACCUUACAAAGUGUAAUGAUGAACCAUGCUUGACUAUAAGACUGAUGGGUCGAGUAGCUGCGCAAGCAAGUCAUAGUGAUCCGGUGAUACUUUAUGGUAUGGUCACCGCUCAGGAGAUAAAAGUUACGUUAGGGAUAACAGGUUAAUCGUUGCCAAGAGUUCACAUUGCCGCAACGGUUUGACACCUCGAUGUCGACUCAUCGCAUCCUCUUGGUGUAGUAGCUAAGAAGGGUUCGGCUGUUCGCCGAUUAAAGCGGUACGCGAGUUGGGUUAAUUGAGCCCACAAAUAUAAUUGGUAAUAAUUGCAGGAAGUAAACCAUUAAUAACCUGCAUCGGGUAAAUACUAUUAGUAACCCCGUUCAACGACUACUAAGUGAACACUGUCUGUAAUAAUCUUAGCCCGAGUACCAACAAUCAAUAAAUUGAAGAGAUAGUCUAAACAAUACUGUAUACCUCAUGAUUAACCUAACCAUAUAAGAUCAUGUGUACCUAUUGAACUAGUUAGUCCUAGUUAAACUAUAAGUCAAUACGACGUGAGUCAGUAUGGUCCUUAUCUUCUGAAGGUAACAAUAACCAAAGGGGUACCUGUGCCUAGUACGAAAGGACCGGUGUUGGGUAGUUCUAUAAUGUAUCUAUUGUUAUAUGGGUAUUAUCCCAGUAGCAUAGUAGAGUAGUUACAACUAUGAUCGAUAAGUACUGAACGCAUAUUAAGUACGAAGCUCCACCCUAGAGGUUAUUAGAAAUGUGAUAGAGACUAUGUCACACGUAUAGGAGGCAUAUGUACAUACAGUAAUGUAUUAAGUAUAGCCUUACUAAUUAAUUGAUUAACUUGGUCUA